AGCAGCCGCGGUAAUUCCAGCUCCAAUAGCGUAUAUUAAAGUUGCUGCAGUUAAAAAGCUCGUAGUUGAAUUUCGGGACCAUCAUGUUGGUCGUGCCUCGGUACGUACUGGCAUUGUUGGUUUCUCCCUUCUGACGAACCAUGAUGUCAUUUAUUUGGUGUCGUGGGAAAUCAGGACUGUUACUUUGAAAAAUUAGAGUGUUUAAAGCAGGCUCACGCUUGAAUACAUUAGCAUGGAAUAAUGAAAUAGGACGUUUGAUUCUAUUUUGUUGGUUUCUAGGAUCGACGUAAUGAUUAAUAGGGAUAGUUGGGGGCAUUAGUAUUCAAUUGUCAGAGGUGAAAUUCUUGGAUUUAUUGAAGACUAACUACUGCGAAAGCAUUUGCCAAGGAUGUUUUCAUUAAUCAAGAACGAAAGUUAGGGGAUCGAAGACGAUCAGAUACCGUCGUAGUC
RNAcentral lists this ribosomal RNA (450 nucleotides) under uncultured Glomeromycotina. RNAcentral describes it as "SSU rRNA". It matches the Rfam family "Eukaryotic small subunit ribosomal RNA", at positions 569 to 1025 of the family's 1831-position model. The record is from RNAcentral. Lineage: Eukaryota; Fungi; Glomeromycota.